Mustela erminea (ermine) is the source of this 10086-nucleotide long non-coding RNA. RefSeq lists it as uncharacterized. The transcript has 3 exons. Lineage: Eukaryota; Metazoa; Chordata; Mammalia; Carnivora; Mustelidae. The record is from RefSeq and is a predicted model, not a curated record.
GCUGUUGCCAUGGUGGCUGAUUGUUGAGGCGGAAGUGACCUCACUGUUCCCCGGCUGGCUGUAGCGGACGCCUGCAAAACAAGACGGACCCCACAGCAGCCGUGAGUGCCCCCAGGGCCUUGGAACACGGACUCGGCUCCCCUUGUUGGCAAGGGUGGACGCCAAGAAGGCCAAGGAGCCUUCUCCUCCCCCGUCUGCCCACAAGAAACACUGGCUAUCUUUCUCUAGGUUAGAGGUGGCGUGGGCUUGACUUCAAAUUCUACAAUGUAAGCUCCCCAAGGGCAGGGCAUUUUUGUCGGUUUUGUUUUGUUCAUGGUGGUAUCCCUAGUGUCUUGUCACUUGGUAACCACUUCAUACAUACCUGUCAGAGGAAAGAAGGAAGACAGGAAGGGAGCAGGGAAAGAGGAAGGGAGGGCAGGAGGGAGGGAGGAAGGAAGGAACUCAAAUGCACGAGAGGAUCCCCUCGUUGUUGCUUUAGCGUAAUUGUUUCAGGAUUUAGGUGCGGAGAUUGGCCUUCUCUUCCUGGUAAGAGUAUUUCUUUUACUCUUCCAAAUGCCUUCUAGAAAUGUUUUCCCAGCACUCAUGGCAAUGUGGGGCCUGCCAAGUACGAGCAGACCCAUUCUACAGAGAGGCACUUGCCCUGGGAGGACCCCUGCAUGAGCCAUAGCAGAAGGCAUCCAUCUCUGCACACCAUGGUUUUGGCUGAGACAGAGAGGCCCCUGGGGGGACACGGGCAGAGCAGGACAGGGAUGUGGGGCUGCGGCUGGGAGUCUUGGGCUCUGUAAUUCACAUUCCUCUGAUGGGGUCCCAUCUGGCUGACUUCCCAGGGCCCAGGGGAAGGUGCAGCCGCCAGGAGGUGGGGCAGGGAGCACAUCCUGGAGGGAUGUGGAUGAUUAGUCUGCAAGGGAGGGGAGAACCAAGCAUGCUUAUAGCCUCACUGCUCUGACCCUGCCUCUUGCUCAGGAACCAAAACAGAGGUCUGCGCUCAGAAAGGCAAAAGUGCUGUGCAGAGGUGGCCUACAGAAGGAAGGAGAAAGGGGGUGGGGGGCAAAGAACCCGGGCCCAGUUUGCAGGGUCAAAGUCUCGCAGGAUGUGCCCAGGAGACAGCCAAAGACAAAGCUGGGGGGUCUCCGGGACACCUCACCUAAGCUCAAAGCUGAUGGAGACCAUGUUCUUGUUUUUCACUUUGGAUUCAACAAAAAGGUUUGAGGGACCCUGGGUCUACCUGCAAGGUAGGGAGAUGGAAUGCUCUCGGCGUGCCAUUGCUUGGAGAGGUGGACCAACUGUCUGGCUGCAAUUCUCCCUCUGCCAGCUUUCCCCAUAUUAACUCUGACUGUAUCAAGGACACUGGUUCUGUUGGUCUGUCUCCCGCUGCCCUGCUUCCUGCUCCCCCAGGGCCACACCCUCCCGAGGAGGCUACAAAGCCCCCCCUCCCACCAGGAGCCUCCAAAUCACUAACACGAAGCUUGCCAAAAGGAGACCCAAGCCAGUUUUCCUGGCACCAUCCAAAGGACGUUACCCAAGGCUGAUAGGACCCAGAGCCAUAAGGGACUAGGAAGAAAACAAACAGAUGCUAAGGCAGACUUCCAACCUUCAAAAGCAAUCUGCCUGACUCUGAGCGGCUGUGUGUUCUACGGACCUUCUUCUAUUGGUGGUUGUCCUCAUCCUUUGAUGCAUGGGGCUGCUGGUGGGGGUGGCAGUGGGACAGCAUUGGAAUUUGGUGGUUAUUGGUCUAGGGCACUCCACUUUUGGGGGAACAGGAGCCAUAACGUUAAAAGGAGGAAAGGCUUCCCUGCCUCCAAACCAGCACCCCUUGCCUGGUCCUGCCCAUGUUCCUCCACAGCCACCUGCAGUCCCCAAAGUCUCUCUACUCUGCCCCACUGGGUCACAUUAGGUUCUUUUUCUCCACUCACAUUUGCCACUGGACUCCUGGCAGGGUGUGUCCCAACAGCUCUCAGUGCUGUUACGCAGAAGAAGAAAGAUGUGUGCCUUGUGAGCUCAGGAGCCAGAGCAGAUUCAAUGGAAAAGAGGGAGGCAGGUUUUACAUCAGCAAGAGAAAGAGAUUUCUGACAAGGAGGGACAGUGAGGAAGACCGUGGGCUCAGGAGCUAGAGAAACUCGGGCUUGAUUCCCGAAUUUGCUCUUUGGAGAUGAUCUUGGAUAAAUGACUUUUCUGUCUGUGCCAUAGCCUGGUCUCAUACGAUGGAGGAAACAUAUCCUUAACACAGUGAUCUCGAGAUAGGAGAAAAUAUCUGUAAGUCUCCUAGCCUAAUGCUAAAAAGGGGUAACUAUAGGUGGGGAGGGGACUAGUAUGGGGAGGGACCCCAAGGUACCUGUCCUAAGACUCUGGAAUUCUAGACAACCCGGGGCAGGUGCUAAGCACCCAGUGGAAUGACCUGUCCUUGGAGAAGGGCUCCCCAAGGAUCAUUCCCUGAAGAAGCCCUGAGGUUUUGCUCUGGAAGCAACCUGGGAGGCAGGCCUGGCCUCUGCCGCUCCCAUUCUUUCCUUCUGGAGGGACUGGACUUCACCCUGUUUUCUCCGACUCCCGGGCCAGCUAUUUACCUCCCCAAGAUGCUCUGCUCCGGAGAGCGCGGUGAUAACGCGAGGAAUCAGGUGUGCGUUCCUCUCCCAGCCCGUCCCCGCCAUCGAUUCAGCCUCAAGUCAAACAGACUCCGGUUGUAGCCUAUUUAAUUUGGCUGAAGGAAGAGGGUCAGUCCUCUGAUGAUCAAAUAUGGGUCACGGAGAGGCUUCUCCCCUACUGCAGGCUACAGAAUUAUUUAUUUAAAAAUAAUUAACCAAGGAUAUCCGCAGGAAACAAAAGCCUCCUUUUAGGAAGGAGCCUGGCAGAAGGGGUGUCGAGAGCCAUUUGUGAGAACCCCAGCAAUGUAGCCCCAGGCUGCCGUGGUUUUUAAACCUCGUUUUCUCCCCCAGCAGAACUUCAUUCUAGGAGAAAUGUCAAGGUGGGGCUGUUGUGUUAAAAGACCGGUGGGCCUAGACCUCUGGCUAAGAGGGAGCAUCGGGAGGGAGUUAGGGGAUCCCUGUUUGAUCCCAGCCCUGCUUUCAGUGUAUUGGCAGAAACCCAGCUUCCUCACCUCUGAGCCCACUGGGAGAGGGGGCUGCUAUCGCCCCCUGAGUGUGGUGGGAGUGAGUCAGGGGGCUGCUCGCCCAUUCCUGAUUCACCUGUGACCUUUCCGACCUGUGCUCCUCUCCCCAGGAGUCUGGGAAUCACUCUGGGCCCAGAGAAGGUGGCUCCGGGAUCAGGCAGCCGCCUGAAAGGGUGUGUGGAGGGGGAAAGUGUAUCACAAGGUAUCUGCUGGCGAUGCACCAGGAAUAGUGUUCUCGUUGGAGGAAGGAGAGGCCAGGUCCUUGGGUAUUUCACAAACCCAGAAGAGCGCUUCAAAGGAGAAGGAGCGCGGGGGAGGCUCUGGAACCCAGCAACCUGGGCUGAAAUCCUGGUUCUACCACACAUGCGCUGUGUGACCUUGGGGAAGUGACUAAACCUCCCUGAGCUUCAGUUUCUUUGCUGUUUAACAGUCUCUGCCCCUUAGGUCAAGACGAAUGACCUUAAGAGAUGUGAAAGUCCCCAGAAACUGCCUAGCACAUAACAAUUGCUCAAGAUACCUCAGCUCCUUCUACCUUGGGACCAUCUUUGUCUAAAAGAUGUUUUCAGGAAGGCUGAGAUCACAAAACUUGACUGAGCCCCUGUCACAGGCCAGGUACUACACUAGGGCAGUAGAAUGGCCUCUCCCCUUCUUCCUUUACCUCCAUGAACUCUGAACGGGAAUAUACCACCAGGGCUCUGGUUUAAUACGACUGACUGAAGAUGCUGCGUCAAUAGCCCCAGAGGUCCCCGGAGGUCCCCAGAGGAGACAGACAAUGCCAGAAGGUGGUCUUCUACCUUGCACUCACUUCCUGGCUCAAGGCACUCACUGGCCACGUCCCCAUUGCUGGUCCUAGGAACCACAGCACGUUGUGUCCAGCAGCCAAAGUCCUCCCAGCUAGAAUCCAGAGCCAUCCCUGAGGUCCUGGGGAGGAGGUGACCUACUUCACCUGUUCCUAGGCCUCAGGAUCAUGGGUAUGGGGCUCUUUCUAAAUUCCUGACGGCAUGUGGGACAGAGACAACACAUCCAGUUUCUAUGCAAUACGACUGGUCAGAAGUAUCAAGGCAUGACGGAACUCAUGGUUCCAGAAGCCAGCAUCUUCACACUCGGCUUCCUGUGCCAGCACCCUCCUCCAGGGCACUCUUCACUUUGCUGCAGCCUGGGAUUUCUUUCCGAAACAAACUCGUACUAUGUCAUUGCCCUGUUUGGAAAUCCAGCAUGGCCCCUCACUGCCUCCUGGAAAAGCCACAACAGCAAGGACUGGCAGAAUCAGGCCUUUGGGACUCCAAGCCCCUUGGCUGUAGCCUCUCACACAACGCCCCCAUACAGUCGUAUCAGAGCACCUGCUGUCCGUCAUGUUGGCCUGUUCACCCCCUGCCUCCAUGCCUUUGCUUCUGCUGUUCCCUCUGCUGGGAAAGCUCUUCCCUUCUUCUCCAUGUCACAUCUUUUUUUUUAAGAGGGUUUAAUGUCACCACUUCUGUGAAGCUCUCCUUGAUUCAUCCUGGUAGUUACCUGCUUUGCCCUUUGCAUUUUACACACAGUUGAGAACCUUACAGCAGGAGUCCGUCCCCUGGCACCAUAACGUUCCUUUGACAGGGUACUUCUCUUUCCCUCUUAAAGGAAGGCAUGGCUAUUUACUCAUUGUGGCAUCCUCAGAGCCUCACAGAGAGCCUGGGACUGUGACUAUUUACUGAAAGAAGAAAUGAGCCCUCAGCUGCUUUGAGCAGGCAUGCCCCAGGACAAGAGAGCAUCCCUUCCGGCGGAAGGAGAAAAUGCAGUCAGUCCUACGGCAAUGCUGGUGUUAAAAGCAUGCAUCUGUUCCAAUUCUAUUGAUACAUUAUGGAAUAAUCUGAAUGCAACGUGAAUUUCCCAUUUGAGGAAUCCAGAAACCUGCACCCAGCCAAGCGGAGCCACAGGGGAAAACACUGAACACAUUAGUGUGCACACGCACACGCAGACGAACACACACACCCCCUUCAAGCCUCUACCAGCUACCAGCAGUUCCCUGCAUGGGCUAUCGGCCACCUCCACCCAUAUCUGGAGUUAGAACUUUCCCUUCAAUUUCUGACAGUCCUCCGCCCACCACCUCAUGGGAACUCACAGGGUGAAGCCCUUGUGACACCUGCUCCCCUUUGCAAACUUUAGGGCUCUUUCAAGGUAAAACGCCAUAUAUUGUUGCACUGAAACACUUCCUAACCAGUUCACAGGGGUAAAACUCAGCUCAUCUUUUUAUUAGAUUCUUAUCUCUUCAAAGGGUGUCACUGGAGAAGUUUUGAGUAGUGUGUCCUUAACCCCAUUCCCCCCCAACCCAUAAACCUCAUGGUUUAUGCGUGACUUUACAGAGCACUGUGGUUUUUCUGAUCUCAAUGUCAGCUUCUACAGAACUGGCUAUGGACCUGUGUUUGAGGCCAGACACAACUGCCUUGCAGGAGGACCUGGGAGAGGACCCACUCAGGGUGUAAUUAACCACAAGGACUUUUCAGAAACCUGUGCUUCAGGGGGCGGGAACUAUAGCUCCCUGAGAGCUUCUAAAAACAGCCGGAAUGCCACAAUUCCAGAAAUCAACAGGCCAUCAGCAUCGAGACACUUGAAACGAAUUCUCUCUGUCUCUCUGCCUUGAUGAUCCUGGGCCGGUCAACUUGGGCAUCUCGGCAUUCUUAUCUACAAGAUGGCCAUAUGGAUUUUCCUUCCUCAGAAGCCAGAAUACUGAGUGAGUAAAAUAAAGUGAGAGAAGCACCGGGUUUUCCGGGGAGAGAAAAAGCCGGGCAAACAGAAGAGCCAUGUCAGCCAGGGAAACAUGACCAGAAUUGCUCUUUUAUAGGAAGUGGGGGGAAGUGGGAGGUGGGGCCUCCUGGGCAAUUGUGAAGCUUGGCUUGUCCCCACGUGGCACUGAAGCCAGGGCCCCCAUUUUCCUGGGGUCUGUGAGUUGUACCCAGAAUCUGGUGGGAUGCCUUUCACCCUUGACAUUUCCAAGCCAAUCUCCCAUCCCUGAUAAUGCAGGAAUGUUCCUCCAACCAGUGGACCUUUGCCAGCGCGAACGAGCGUCCCAGCCACCAACAGAGUAAACAUUACUCAACAGGCCAGGGCUCUGUCACACACAUUCUUCCCGUGUGUUUCUAACCUCAUGCAGAGCACAGCCCAACCCUGUUGGGUCGAGAAACUGGGAACUUAAGCCCAGGCAAGAGGGAGCGUGUGAAGGAAAAAAGGAAACAACCCUGUCCAUCAAUUAUGGGCAGACAGAGCUGUCUUUGCUAUGACGCCAGAACUCAGGGCCAGGGAGGGGGUCAGGAGGAAUGAGGUCAGUCCUGAUGGGGGCCGGUAAUGGUGUCCACAGCAAUCCACUCCCCCUUUUUCCACAGAGGAAAGAGUCAGAGACACACAUGAUUCCGUCUUGGGAACUUCUGAGACGCUCAUCUGGGAUAAAAGUGGGCGCACCAUUCCCCGCUGUGUGACUAGAACUCCAGCAACGAGAGCUUUCCACACAGGAGACAGCCCUGCUGCCUCAGUGUCCUCAUCGGCGACACGGGACUCCUGCCAGUUCCUAGUCCUAUUUCCUCCUCUCUGGGCAUCAAGAUUAAUGUUUGCAGAGAGCUCAGGAGAUUAAAAAUCUGAAAGCCUGAGAGGAAAAAGCUGAUGUAAGAUGAAAGCAGUUCAAACACUAGGCUGGUUUCAAUUCCACAUCGCCCUCUACCUGAGGUGGCUCGGUGAGGAGGCCGGUUCGUAAGGGCAGAAACACAGACAGGCCCGCGGGGACGGUAAACAGUCUUGAACUCAAGGAGUAAAGUGGAGUGAUACUUAAGGGAAGCCCACAAACUGGUUUUCUUAUAAAAAUCAAAGCAGAGGGAGCCAAGAAAAGAAAGGGGGAAAAAAAAAGUCCUUUUCCAUUAAAGCAUCUUGGCUGAGAACAGACCCUAACGUGUACAGAGCGCCUGAGAAAAUCACACAUGUGGGGAGGUAGAAGGGCAACAGAAACUCUGCCUGUCCUCCCCAUGAGGCCCGCCGGGCCACCCCGCCAGGUCCUUACCCCAGAGUCAGUCUCUACAGGUAAACAUCAGACAGCUGGCAAUGAGCACUACAGCCUAGAGUCCGUGGCUACAAGUGAGAGAGGCCAGGCUGGCCUUUGAGAGCUCAAGAAGUCCUCACCUCUGUGAGUGCCCUACACACGCUGCUCUCCGUGUGUCCCAGAUGCCCAUCUGACAGAAUGGAAAACUGAGGUUCAACGAAGAAGAGGUUAUUUUCACUACCUCUGGCUCCUUGUCUCCCCUCCAAAGCUGACCCUUCUUCCUCUUUCCUGUAGACCCCGAAUCGAUUCCAGGAGGAUGAACCUCAACCUCCCCAAAAGAUGGUGUAAGAGCGAGGACACAACAUGUGGGGUGAAUGAAGGCUGAUGAGGUCUUUCUGCCCCUCGCUGGCAAGCUGUCCAGGUACAUUCUGGGCUUGGCUACAGGCCAUACCAAUAGGAAGCACAUUGCCGGGCUCUGGAGACCGUACGCAGCCCACCCUGAGCCCGGAGCUCCAGCCUGCUGUCUGCUGAGCCUGGGGUGUGUCCCCUGGGAGCCCCAGCACAGUUCACUGCUACCCCUGCAGCCUAUCACACCUCCCAGCGUCCCGCACCCCAGGCCCCAGCCUGGCCCCAGGCGCAUGUCACUGCCUCUUAGGACACGAUGCCCCCGGGUGUGAAAGUCCGAAAGAAACGGAUGGCUGCUGCCUGCCUUUCUUUCUGCGGCUGCUUGUCAAAACCUCAGUAAUAAUGAGAGUCGUCACCAUUUAUUGGGAAAGAGGGUGUUUACACGUUCUCUCAUUUAAUCCUCACGUGGGCCCGAUGAGGCAGGUCCUCUUUCUUUGUUCUACAGACAGGCAAGUCGGACCUGGAGAAGUGACAUGACUGGGUAACCCUGCCGUUGUGGGGAUCAACCUGGCUAGCUAGGGGCAGGAUUCAGAACCAAGUCCAGAGAACCCCCUCUCUGGGGAUGCACAAGGACUGCCACGAUGAGCCCUGAGUGAAAAUUCAGGCAGAGGGGAAGGCGGCCACAUGAACACACACAGUGUCCCCUCGUUAUUGCUCUAUAAACAGGAGUCCCUCCCUAGAAACACACACGAAGCCCCAGACGACAGCCUUGGGCCCUAGAUGGUUCUGUGCAUUCCAUGCCAGCACGAUGCCUUCCCAAGGAGAUGAGAAGCUUCUGUGGGCAGGACGCACACGCACCUACGUGGCGCUGAGUGGGAAUCGGCAGGCCCGAGUUCUAGGCAUGUCUGCCACCCUCGCUCUCUUAACUUGGCCAAGUUACUGCUUUGUUUGGGUCUCUGUUUCCUUCUUUGAAACUCCUCCCAGUUCUAGCAUUCCAUGAUUUUUUUCAAAGACUGAGGUCUGGUCGGCGGACCCCAGAGAACCCACUCCAGGGGGACCAUGCGUCCCGGGACCCCGAUCAGAGGGCUCUUGGGCUGUAUUUGGCAUGCACCCUGCUCAGUUUCCAGUACCUGCCUGGCUCCUCUGGCCCCACUCUGUGUCUCCUGUCAGUAUACAGAAGGCCUCCGCCAACGACCCUGUGGUGACCUCACCACAACCCCAGCUUGUCAGAAAGCUGCCCAGCCUUUGUUCGGCUUGCAGGCUCCCUGACUUUGGUGUGGAGAUCACAGGUCCCAGCACAAUAGCCAUUGUCUUCUCAAUAAUGCCCCUUGCCCCAACCACGCCCCCCACCGCUCCAGCCCCUGCUCCAUGGAUCACCGCGGGCGGGCAGCAAGUGCCCCAGUCAUGCUCUGUGCUGGCUACAUGCCGUUUGGUCUGCCCUCUGAACCCUUGCUUUGGAUUUCCGUUACGGGAUGGACUUACUCUGCCAUCAGUCUAGUGCUCUUCAGAGGUGGGGCAGCAGGGGGGAGAGGGGGCUUCUUGGCCUUUCAAGAAUAACCUGAACCUUUUCCCUGCGUGGCCGAACCUUUCCCUUCUGCAGGAGUGGGGUUCCAAGAAGGCCCCAGGCCUGGCCAAGGUACCCAGACACCCUGGAAGCAGUCAUGUUGUGGGAGCAGUGUGUGGAACAAAUGCUUGGCAACAGCCCAGCCAGGCCCCCCACCACUGAGGCCAGCCCCAGACCUCAGACCGCUCCUGGCAGCAGAGCAAGCAGCUGGCAGAGUUGCAAAUGAGGCCAGGUUCUCCUUUAGCAAACCCUUCCCCAGAGCAGGGGGCAGAUCAUGCCAUCCUCUUUCUACACGGACACCAAGCCAGCCUCAGUAAGCACCCUCACGCUGGGCAGCCAGCUUUCUAGGAAGGACUAAGCCCCUGGGGGGUGGGGCGGGGAGGGGCGGGGCGGGGAGAAGUGCUCUGCCUCAGACCAGGCCUGAUGCACCACUCAGCAUAUAGGGGCGCUUUCCCACAGUGACGAUGUAGGCUUUGGGCGCAACAAGCCCAAACCCCGUAGCAGAGACGCCUAACUCAGGCCGGGGGCCCAGCACACGGCAGCACACAGUAGGGACUCAACCAGUUUGGGCCAUCUCAGCCCUGCAAAGCUGUCAGGUGAGAUUCUGCACUAACUCUAGCAGAGCACCGAAGCCAGCAAGAGACUGCCAGCAGAGUGGCCCUUCCCCACAGGCCUCUGGGCUCCCCCUGCUAGGGCUGGAUGGAGCCCCGGCAUGGGAUCUGGACGGGGUAGAGGGGACCCUGUAGUUCAGAUGUAGAGUGCCAAUAAAGCAGCCUCUCCCAUCUCAUUGGACUGUUGCCCUGCUUUGCUGAGUCAGCAGCCACCCAGGGAGAAGAAAGGAGACCCAGAGAAAGUUGGGGAAGAGGGACUCCCCAGAGUCUGAGCAAGGACUCAGAGGAAACCUGAGUGCAGCCAUACACUGUUCUCCCAAGAACAUUCUGGCCACGGGAGCGGGCCAGCCCUUGCACCGUCCUGCCAUUUCCUCCUCGGGAAAAACCUUGCGCCAGCCCAGACCGGUGGGGAGAAGCAGGUUGGCUGGGCCUCCGAGGCACUGGGGCCUGGGCCGGGCUUACC